RNAcentral lists this transfer RNA (73 nucleotides) under Karlodinium veneficum. RNAcentral describes it as "tRNA-Ile". It matches the Rfam family "tRNA". From Rfam's summary of the family: Transfer RNA (tRNA) molecules are approximately 80 nucleotides in length. Their secondary structure includes four short double-helical elements and three loops (D, anti-codon, and T loops). Further hydrogen bonds mediate the characteristic L-shaped molecular structure. tRNAs have two regions of fundamental functional importance: the anti-codon, which is responsible for specific mRNA codon recognition, and the 3' end, to which the tRNAs corresponding amino acid is attached (by aminoacyl-tRNA synthetases). tRNAs cope with the degeneracy of the genetic code in two manners: having more than one tRNA (with a specific anti-codon) for a particular amino acid; and 'wobble' base-pairing, i.e. permitting non-standard base-pairing at the 3rd anti-codon position. The record is from RNAcentral. Lineage: Eukaryota; Dinophyceae; Gymnodiniales; Kareniaceae.
AGGCUAUUAGCUCAGCGGUUAGAGCAUACCCCUGAUAAGGGUAUGGUCCCAGGUUCGAUUCUUGGAUAGCCUA